GACGAACGCUGGCGGCGUGCUUAACACAUGCAAGUCGAACGGAAAGGCCCUGCUUUUGUGGGGUGCUCGAGUGGCGAACGGGUGAGUAACACGUGAGUAACCUGCCCUUGACUUUGGGAUAACUUCAGGAAACUGGGGCUAAUACCGGAUAGGAGCUUCUGCUGCAUGGUGGGGGUUGGAAAGUUUCGGCGGUUGGGGAUGGACUCGCGGCUUAUCAGCUUGUUGGUGGGGUAGUGGCUUACCAAGGCUUUGACGAGUAGCCGGCCUGAGGGGGUGACCGGCCACCAGGGGUGAGAGAAGCCGCUGACACGACUACGAGACGAAGCAGCGGAGCAGAAUGCACGACGAGCGGGGGAAUGAUGCAACAGCGCCGCGGGGGGGGUGAUGGAGUUCGGGGUGUAAUCCAUUUUCGCGUGAGGCGACGCGAGUGACACGAUUAUGAGAAUAAACCCCCGCUAACUCCGCG
Molecule: ribosomal RNA, 466 nt
Filed under: uncultured bacterium
Lineage: Bacteria
Description: partial 16S ribosomal RNA
Rfam family: Bacterial small subunit ribosomal RNA
Source: RNAcentral